GACAUUUUGAGGAAAAAAGUGUUGAAAACUGAUUAUUAAAGUGAAUUUUCUAAGUCAAAGGACCAUAACUCUGCACAAAAAAAUCAGACAGGAACAAAAUUCAAACUUGAUUAUCAUUUGUAACUUGCCACCAUAAAGACAUACACCUAUCAAAUCAAUAUCUUCAAGUAUAAAAAACCAAGAAUAUGUCCAUAGUACAUGGAUGCCCCACUCGCACUAUCAUUUUCUAUGUUCAGUGGACUGUGAAAUGGGGGUCAAAACUAGAAAGAUCAUAUCAAAGGUAACGUGUACUAAGUUGCAAGUUGAUUGGACUUCAAAUUCCUCAAAAACUACCUUGACCAAAAACUUAAACCUGAAGCAGGACAG
Molecule: long non-coding RNA, 366 nt
Filed under: Mytilus galloprovincialis (Mediterranean mussel)
Lineage: Eukaryota; Metazoa; Mollusca; Bivalvia; Mytilida; Mytilidae
Source: RNAcentral